UUUCCGUAGGUGAACCUGCGGAAGGAUCAUUACCGAGUUAGGGUCUCCUCCGUGAGGCCCGACCUCCCAACCCUAUGUGAAUCGUACUCGUUGCUUCGGGGGCGACCCUGCCGUCCGCGGCUGAGCGCCCCCGGGGUCAAUCAAACACUGCAUUCUCUGCGUCGGAGUAUUAGUAAAUCUAAUCAAAACUUUCAACAACGGAUCUCUUGGUUCUGGCAUCGAUGAAGAACGCAGC
RNAcentral lists this unclassified non-coding RNA (235 nucleotides) under uncultured fungus. RNAcentral describes it as "sequence contains ITS1, 5.8S rRNA gene". The stretch from base 187 to 235 matches the Rfam family "5.8S ribosomal RNA", at positions 1 to 49 of the family's 154-position model. The record is from RNAcentral. Lineage: Eukaryota; Fungi.